Long non-coding RNA from Pyrus x bretschneideri (Chinese white pear), 1435 nucleotides. RefSeq lists it as uncharacterized. The record is from RefSeq and is a predicted model, not a curated record. The transcript has 2 exons. Lineage: Eukaryota; Viridiplantae; Streptophyta; Magnoliopsida; Rosales; Rosaceae.
UGGCCUCUUGCAUUCGAGUCUUACAUGAGCCGAAUUUGGUGGAUCAUAAUGUAUUGAUUUUCUUCGUAUUUAUCUUUGAUGGACGAGUAAAGUUACACGUACGAUUAUACCAGAAGAUUUCUACUUCUUUAGGCUAUGGUUUGUAAAAACUUGCAUCCUCUAAAUUGCUUAAUCACUUGUUUUGAACUAUUUUUCUAGCAAUUAAAAGCAUAUUAUAGCCGUGUUUAAGACGAAAUCUAAAAGUGAUCUUAUAUAUAUAAACCGACCCUAGCUCAUACCAGCAAAUUGGGCAGAUAUAAAAAGUUUGAGGUGCCCCAAUUUUUAAUGGAGUAGGAUUCUCUUUCCUCUUUUUUCCCUCCUCUUUUCUCUCCUCUUAUUUGAACGGUCACAGUUAAGCCACGUCAACAUCUUAUAUUAAUUUUUUAUAGAAAGAGAAAAAUGAAAUAAAGAAUGUGAGAGAAAGAGAUGAAAGAUGAUGAAAAGAAAAGGGAGAGAAUCCUAAUUCAUUUUUAACAUGAUUAUGUUUCAUCAAAGUUAUGCUGCCCCAACUCUUCUGUGGAAAGUAUUCAGUUUGUUGAAUCUUGAUGCAAACGCGAUUUCAUUUGUUGCCAUUUUGUUCUUUUAUUUUCCCACUCGUACUACAUUGCACUGCACGACAAUUUGUACUACAUCUUGCGCGUAUACCUGUACUAAAUUCCAGUACUCCAACAACCUGGCUUAUUUUCCUGUACUGGAUUUUGGUACUCGAACCUUGGUUAUUAUUGAUUCAGAAAUAUAUAUACGUGUGUGUAUAUGGAUCAUCAGUAUAUGGAUAGUUGCAGCAGAAAUCUUUCAGUUUAACAGGAGAAUCACACAGACGCUCCUCUACUUCAACUUCAAGAAUUGGAGGCGAUGCAGUCCAUUCUUAUGGAGUGAGUUCAUCUUUACUGUUCGAUCUAAUGAAUCUAUAUGAAUUUAUGGCAUCCACAAUUGGCACCAAAUUCAUCACCAGAGUGCUACCUUUCUCACCUUCAGCUUCGAAGUCUUCCAACAAGUCCCUUGUCCUUGACCUCAUGCUACUACUUCGAUCUCGUUUCUUUUGUUAGUUAUAUGCAGGCCAUGCAUAAACAAAACCGGGCCGGCCAUUUUUCAUACCUUGGCACCAAAGUCACCACCCGACUGUUAUCGUAUUCAAUUCAUCCUCCAACAAGUCCGUGAUCUCUAUGCGCAAUCUCUUAAUUUAUGAUAAAAUCAACAAAGAAAUGCUAUGAAAAGAAAGUAGUUUGCGGAUAGAGAUAACGAACUUGUCGUAGGAUGAGCUGAAGAUGAUAACAGUCUGGUGGUUACUUUGGUGCCAAGGCAUACAAGAUGGUCACCUUAUUUUACUUUUUUUCAAAAAUCAAAGAUCUUAUGUAACAAAUUAACUAAAAAUGCAAAUAGUUGAUUUAUUUACUCA